AACGAACGCUGGCGGCAUGCCUAACACAUGCAAGUCGAACGGGACCUUCGGGUCUAGUGGCGCACGGGUGCGUAACGCGUGGGGAUCUGCCCUUAGGUACGGAAUAACUCAGGGAAACUUGAGCUAAUACCGUAUAAUGACUUCGGUCCAAAGAUUUAUCGCCUAGGGAUGAACCCGCGUAGGAUUAGCUUGUUGGUGAGGUAAAGGCUCACCAAGGCGACGAUCCUUAGCUGGUCUGAGAGGAUGAUCAGCCACACUGGGACUGAGACACGGCCCAGACUCCUACGGGAGGCAGCAGUGGGGAAUAUUGGACAAUGGGCGAAAGCCUGAUCCAGCAAUGCCGCGUGAGUGAUGAAGGCCUUAGGGUUGU
This 370-nucleotide ribosomal RNA is filed under the name uncultured bacterium. Its description in RNAcentral is "bacterial SSU rRNA". It matches the Rfam family "Bacterial small subunit ribosomal RNA", at positions 29 to 426 of the family's 1533-position model. The record is from RNAcentral.